RNAcentral lists this non-coding RNA (30 nucleotides) under Rattus norvegicus (Norway rat). The record is from RNAcentral. Lineage: Eukaryota; Metazoa; Chordata; Mammalia; Rodentia; Muridae.
GACUUGAUGAACGAGGGUUCUCCAGCCUCU